AGAAGACAGAACAGUGACCAUCUGUCAUCUCCCCUCUAAGAAAGAACACUGCAAAAGGCGGAGGAGCUCAGCUGGGCGCCAACUCGGUGGUGGAGCAGGUGCUGGCCGGGCAAGAGGCGCUGGGAGUGAAAAAGAAAGCCUGAGAUGCGAGGGAGGCGUCUGGUUCACACAGACCAAAGGACAACGCAGGCACUGCGCAGCCCUGCCGCUCUCCCGCCUUCCUUCAUCUCUCCGCUUUCCAGCUUCACUUCCUAAACGAGCUCACUUUAGGCUGCCGGAGAGGAAGAGGCUCUUCCGGCCCUGAAUCAGACAAUCCCUUUUAGGAAAAGGCUCUGAUUGGUCCGAGGGGUCACGUGGGCCGACGGGCGGCUUUCCAGUCACGUGGUCAGGCUGGCCGGAACGGAAGUCCUCCAAGUGCGGGGCUCGCUCUCUGGAGCGGGCAGUGGGUAGAUCUGGGUAGACUAAGUGGCCAGGAUGCCACCAGGGGAAGAUCACUCUUAAUAUUCGUCCUUAGCACCAGCAGCAGAAGUCACGCUGGAUGGUUUACAUAGAAAAGGAGAUUAUGAAAGGAUAAAAGGGCCUUUCUGCUUCUAGCAUGGUGUCGCCAGGAACGAGGACAGCGAAAUCCUGACGAGCACGGGACUGUGCCUGUCGCUGAGGCAGCCAGAGAGGGGACCGGCGCACAGGCGGCCAGGGCCAGAGCAGCAGGUUGUGCGACCCACCGCCCUUCGCCACAGGGAAGCAGCCCUGAGCUAGUCGGGAGUCCUGGCAAAGACCGAGAAGCUGUCUCAGGAGGCCAGUGUCUCCGCUCUCACUUCCGAGUGCAGGAUCCCUUGGCGCCUCCUAGUACUACCGUGCCCUGUUAUCUAGGUCACAGGACGCUACAGUGACCCGACCGGGUCAAUGACAAGGCCCAGGACCUCUGGAAGUGAAGAAAGAUAUGGGUCAUCGCUGCAGGGGACGAACGAACGAGACCUGCCAACGUGCUUGCGGAAGGCCGGGAAAUACAGAAUCAGAGUAAAAGGUAGUCGUAAACACCUCAGGAGCAGUUACAGAAGUGAGGAUUGUGAGCUGGGCGUGGUGGCCCAGGCCUGUAAUCUCUGGACUCAGGAGGCUGAGGCAGGAGGAUCGCCAUGAGUUCGAGCCCAACCUGGGCUACAUCGUGAGCUCAAGAAUGGGAAACUUGACGUCAUCUUCAAAAUCCUUUACUGUCCUCGACCCUGGGAAUUUUUUGAUCCGCAAACCGAAAAGAAGAGCUGCUCCAUCUUCUCUGCCCCAUGCAUGGCCUGACCACCCCUGGAAGAAAAGGAAUGGAGUCAGUGAAGUCAGUGAGGUACUGACCAGCUCUAGCGCUGCUGCAGGUGAAAGGGCAGAUGGCCUGAGGUCCUCUAUUUUCAAGACUUUCCUUGCCCUGAGAGACAAUCCUGAUUUGUGUUUAAAAUGUUUGUGUGAGGAAAAGGAAGCCAGGUACCUUUGGCCCACAAAUCUGACGUGCCCACCAUUCCAGAGGCUGAGGCGCCGCCUGCCUGCCCCGCGUGCUGAGGCUAAAGCCCCCCAGCCACCCCGUUAAGGCUUCUACAGGCGCUGUCCUUUCUCCCCAACCUAACUGAAACCCAGGAGAGCUACAUCCUCUGCAGGAAGUUGGGAGUCUGCCCCCACACCUGUGCCUGUGGUAUUUGCCCUUCUUGAGCUCAAACAAAUUGAACAGGGAUCUGGGUAAAUUUUCAUACGAUUCUGGUAAA
Heterocephalus glaber (naked mole-rat) is the source of this 1742-nucleotide long non-coding RNA. RefSeq lists it as uncharacterized. The record is from RefSeq and is a predicted model, not a curated record. Lineage: Eukaryota; Metazoa; Chordata; Mammalia; Rodentia; Bathyergidae.